UACGGGGGGAGCAAGCGUUGUUCGGAUUUACUGGGCGUAAAGGGCGCGUAGGCGGUCAGCACAAGUCAGUUGUGAAAUCUCCGAGCUUAACUCGGAAAGGUCAACUGAUACUGUGCGACUAGAGUGCAGAAGGGGCAACUGGAAUUCCAGGUGUAGCGGUGAAAUGCGUAGAUAUCUGGAGGAACACCGGUGGCGAAGGCGGCAUCCUGGACCGGCAUUGACGCUGAGGCGCGAAAGCCAGGGGAGCAAACGGG
Molecule: ribosomal RNA, 254 nt
Filed under: uncultured bacterium
Lineage: Bacteria
Description: partial 16S ribosomal RNA
Rfam family: Bacterial small subunit ribosomal RNA
Source: RNAcentral